Molecule: signal recognition particle RNA, 88 nt
Filed under: Ligilactobacillus ruminis
Lineage: Bacteria; Bacillati; Bacillota; Bacilli; Lactobacillales; Lactobacillaceae
Description: Lactobacillus ruminis Bacterial small signal recognition particle RNA
Rfam family: Bacterial small signal recognition particle RNA
About the family: The signal recognition particle (SRP) is a universally conserved ribonucleoprotein involved in the co-translational targeting of proteins to membranes.
Source: RNAcentral
GCCUUGGGGCAAUGUUGUCCUUACGAAGCGUGUCAGGUCCGGAAGGAAGCAGCACUAAGUUUGGUUUGGCAUGUGCUCCUUGUUAUGA